CCUACGGGAGUCAGCAGUGGGGAAUAUUGCACAAUGGGGGAAACCCUGAUGCAGCGACGCCGCGUGAGUGAAGAAGUAUCUCGGUACGUAAAGCUCUAUCAGCAGGGAAGAAAAUGACGGUACCUGACUAAGAAGCCCCGGCUAACUACGUGCCAGCAGCCGCGGUAAUACGUGGGGGGCGAGCGUUAUCCGGAUUUACUGGGUGUAAAGGGAGCGUAGACGGCAGCACAAGUCUGGAGUGAAAGCCCGGGGCUUAACCCCGGAACUGCUUUGGAAACUGUGCGGCGGGAGUGCAGGAGGGGUAAGCGGAAUUCCUAGUGUAGCGGUGAAAUGCGUAGAUAUUAGGAGGAACACCGGUGGCGAAGGCGGCUUACUGGACUGUAACUGACGUUGAGGCUCGAAAGCGUGGGGAGCAAACAGGAUUAGAUACCCGGGUAGUC
Molecule: ribosomal RNA, 440 nt
Filed under: uncultured bacterium
Lineage: Bacteria
Description: partial 16S ribosomal RNA
Rfam family: Bacterial small subunit ribosomal RNA
Source: RNAcentral